This 83-nucleotide transfer RNA is filed under the name Schistocephalus solidus. It matches the Rfam family "tRNA". From Rfam's summary of the family: Transfer RNA (tRNA) molecules are approximately 80 nucleotides in length. Their secondary structure includes four short double-helical elements and three loops (D, anti-codon, and T loops). The record is from Rfam by way of RNAcentral. Lineage: Eukaryota; Metazoa; Platyhelminthes; Cestoda; Diphyllobothriidea; Diphyllobothriidae.
GGCCUCGUAGCUCAGUUAGUUAGAGCGUUUGCCGUGCUAAAGCCUUUCACUUGCUGGCUUGAGUUCAAAACCCACCGAGGCUG